Molecule: ribosomal RNA, 749 nt
Filed under: uncultured archaeon
Lineage: Archaea
Description: bacterial SSU rRNA
Rfam family: Archaeal small subunit ribosomal RNA
Source: RNAcentral
GCUUAACGGCAUGAAUUCUGAGGAUACUGCCAUACUUGAGGUCGAGAGAGGUCGGAGGUACUCCUGGGGUAGCGGUGAAAUGCUAUAAUCCUGGGGGGACCACCAGUGGCGAAAGCGUCCGAGCAGAGCGAGCCUGACGGUAAGGGACGAAAGCCAGGGGAGCGAACGGGAUUAGAUACCCCGGUAGUCCUGGCCGUAAACGCUGUGGGCUAGGUGUUGCAUGCUCUACGAGGGCAUGCAGUGCCGAAGAGAAGUUGAUAAGCCUACCGCCUGGGAAGUACUAUCGCAAGAUAGAAACUUAAAGGAAUUGGCGGGGGAGCACCACAAGGGGUGAAGUCUGCGGUUUAAUUGGAUUCAACGCCGGAAAUCUCACUGGAGGCGACGGCAGAAUGACAGCCAAGCUGAUGACUUUGCUUGACGAGCCGAGAGGAGGUGCAUGGCCGUCGUCAGCUCGUACCGUAAGGCGUCCUGUUAAGUCAGGCAACGAGCGAGACCCGUGCCCUUAUUUGUCAUCUGACCCCUGCGGGGGUCAAGACCCAUUAAGGGGACCGCUGCUGAUAAAGCAGAGGAAGGAGCGAGCACCGAUAGGUCAGUAUGCCCCGAAUCCUUCAGGCUACCCGCGGACUGCAAUGGCUAGUACAAUGGGCCCCAACUCCGAAAGGAGAAGGAAAUCCCGAAAGCUAGUCUUAGUUCGGAUUGUGGGCUGUAAAUCGCCCACACGAAGCCGAAAUCCCUAGUAAUCGCGUCUC